GUGAUGGGUCGCCCCACCGCGGCGCCCAACGCAAGACGGGCGACGAGGAAAGUCCGGGCAACGCAGAGCACCCUGCUUCCUAACGGGAAGGACUGGCCAGUAUAAUGCGAACCAGGACAGCCAGUGCCACAGAAAACUACCGCCGGAAGGUGGAGUGGCGGAAUGGUGGAUUGUUGUUCAGACAACUCACCACCCCACCAAUCCGCCAUCAGGUAAGGGUGAAAAGGUGCGGUAAGAGCGCACCAGCGGGCGGGUGACCGUCCCGGCUGGGUAAACCUCAGGGGUUGAAAGACCAAAUAAGCUGGCACGCCGGCGCGGCUUCGGCCGCUUCGGCACCGGGCGGCUCGUCCGGCGCCAGCGGGUAGGUUGAUGGAGCCUUUCCGCGAGGACUGGCCUAGAUAAAUGGUGGGGACGCGGCUUCGGCCGCGCACAAAACCCGGCUUACAGACCCAUCACCUCA
RNAcentral lists this RNase P RNA (460 nucleotides) under Hymenobacter ruricola. Its description in RNAcentral is "Hymenobacter sp. BT662 RNase P RNA component class A". It matches the Rfam family "Bacterial RNase P class A". From Rfam's summary of the family: Ribonuclease P (RNase P) is a ubiquitous endoribonuclease, found in archaea, bacteria and eukarya as well as chloroplasts and mitochondria. Its best characterised activity is the generation of mature 5'-ends of tRNAs by cleaving the 5'-leader elements of precursor-tRNAs. The record is from RNAcentral. Lineage: Bacteria; Pseudomonadati; Bacteroidota; Cytophagia; Cytophagales; Hymenobacteraceae.